This is a long non-coding RNA of Ictidomys tridecemlineatus (thirteen-lined ground squirrel), 1036 nucleotides long. RefSeq lists it as uncharacterized. NCBI's taxonomy places the organism in Eukaryota, Metazoa, Chordata, Mammalia, Rodentia, Sciuridae. The record is from RefSeq and is a predicted model, not a curated record.
GAUCCCAGGUCCCGCCCACCCCUCGGGGCUCAGGGAUUGCAGCGAUCCAGCCGCGCGGAUGUCGGAGCCCGGACGUGUGCGGAAGUCCUGCGCGGCCACCGCUCGCUGCCUUCCGGGCAGGGAAACUGAGGCUGGGAGGAGGCGGCCACCCAGCCGCUGGCAGCCGGGGGCCGAGCCCCCACCCACCGAGCGCGGGCGCAGACGGCGGGCUCUGCGCCACACGCAGAGACAGCUCUUCUGAGGAGUGGCUUGAAGGAUCCUCUGUGUUAACAAGUGGAGCACUUCUCCACAGCGAGCACUGUCCUCGCCCAGUGAACUGGAGCUCAGAUCUUCUUGACAUGACAAUUUUCCUGAGAUGUGGGGGGCUGUGAUGCAAGUUCCCGCAUUUGUUGCGCCUUAGUAGUUUCAGAUACUCUGUACCAGCAGCCCUCCUCCCAUGGGACAAGUGUGAUUUGAUGCAGAAUGACACUGUAGCUGUUUCCACGGACUCCAUUCUACCCUUCUGUAGCUCCACAGAUGCCCAAGGAAUGACCCCAGGAGGCCCUGAGUGGUCUAACUCCAUCAGCUUGUGGUGUUUCCCUUCCUCAAUGCCUGACUUCAGAUGACCCAUUUGAAGCAAAGCCCAGGACUUUGGAGGAUGAUCCAAGGCAAAGAGCUGCCUUCUGGGUGAGCUGCAUGAGUCUGGAUGAAAAUACAGCACAAUCUGGACAAAUGAUCUGGUCAGCCCAUAGCUCAGGCUGAGCCCAAGUUACUGGCUUAAUGUUUAAACUGGUUUGCACUGAAUUUUUCUGCUACUCAUUGCCAGAAGCACCCUCACCAACCUGCAUAGAGGACUCCUUGCUCCUAAUGUGGAAACAGAACUGAAGUAGCCUAAUUCAAUGAAAAGACUCAAAGUCCGUGUGUGCAGCAGCCAUGUUUGUGUUGUCCACUGCCAUCCCCAGGGCUGAUUGGAGAGGCUGCAGAUAGGAGUCACUCAGUACCCAUCUGCAGAGUGAAUGAAUAAAUGAUCAGAAAUGAAUAAAUGAUUAGAAAACAA